UGGAACUUUAUUUACCAAAUGUUAGCCUCCGUAUUAAUUAACUAGUUUCUUAAAAAAAAUAGUUUACAAGUAAAAAACAUGACAAUAUUAUACUAUAUGUCAUCGGAACAUGGCUACUGAUAUUAUCAGUUAUAAACUUAAUUAUAUAUGCAAGUAACGCAUGGUGCCUGGUCCAUUAACCCAACGAUUGAUUAUCUUAUUCCGGGACAAAGCAUUGGCUCAAUCAUGCAAAAUCUACUUUAUCAAUAGCUUUUUAUUUACAUAAAAUUUAAACACACUUCGAAUUCUUUCUUAAGAAAUAAAUUAAUUGAUAUAACGUUACGUCAUACGUUUUCUGUUUCGUGUUGCAGUCUUGCAGAUCGGCAUUGCUUUCUUUGAUUGCGCCUACGACGUCAAUAUAAUAAAUUUGUACCAAAGUUCCGAGACUUGUCUCUUUCAAGAUGAUCGAACGACCAAAAACUCCAAUAUGACCAAGCUUUUUGACGCAUUUCGUUUAUAGAAUAAUGAUUCAUUUCUUUUUUCAUGAAAUAUAUGUUUUCGC
This 541-nucleotide long non-coding RNA is filed under the name Capsella rubella. RNAcentral describes it as "long non-coding RNA (CRUB_LNC002405)". The record is from RNAcentral. Lineage: Eukaryota; Viridiplantae; Streptophyta; Magnoliopsida; Brassicales; Brassicaceae.